RNAcentral lists this ribosomal RNA (449 nucleotides) under uncultured bacterium. RNAcentral's name for it is "partial 16S ribosomal RNA". It matches the Rfam family "Bacterial small subunit ribosomal RNA", at positions 29 to 523 of the family's 1533-position model. The record is from RNAcentral.
AGCGAACGCUGGCGGCAGGCCUAACACAUGCAAGUCGAACGGAUCCUUCGGGAUUAGUGGCGGACGGGUGAGUAACACGUGGGAACGUGCCUUUAGGUUCGGAACAACUCAGGGAAACUUGAGCUAAUACCGGAUGUGCCCUUAGGGGGAAAGAUUUAUCGCCUUUAGAGCGGCCCGCGUCUGAUUAGCUAGUUGGUGAGGUAAAGGCUCACCAAGGCGACGAUCAGUAGCUGGUCUGAGAGGAUGACCAGCCACAUUGGGACUGAGACACGGCCCAAACUCCUACGGGAGGCAGCAGUGGGGAAUCUUGCGCAAUGGGCGAAAGCCUGACGCAGCCAUGCCGCGUGUAUGAUGAAGGUCUUAGGAUUGUAAAAUACUUUCACCGGUGAAGAUGAUGACGGUAACCGGAGAAGAAGCCCCGGCUAACUUCGUGCCAGCCGCCGCAGUAA